UAACACAUGCAAGUCGAACGAAGUAGCAAUACUUAGUGGCAGACGGGUGAGUAACGUGUGGGUAUCUACCCUUUGGCCUGGAAUAACACGAGGAAACUUGUGCUAAUACCGGAUAAGUCUUUACGGAGAAAGCUUUAUGCACCAUUGGAUGAGCCCGCACUUGAUUAGUUUGUUGGUAGGGUAAUGGCCUACCAAGACUAUGAUCAAUAGCUGAUUUGAGAGGAUGAUCAGCCACAUUGGGACUGAGACACGGCCCAAACUCCUACGGGAGGCAGCAGUGGGGAAUCUUGCACAAUGGAGGAAACUCUGAUGCAGCGAUGCCGCGUGAGUGAAGAAGGCCUUUGGGUUGUAAAGCUCUUUCGUCGGGGAAGAAAAUGACUGUACCCGAAUAAGAAGGUCCGGCUAACUUCGUGCCAGCAGCCGCGGUAAUACGAAGGGACCUAGCGUAGUUCGGAUUACUGGGCUUAAGAGUUCGUAGGUGGUUGAAAAAGUUGGUGGUGAAAUCCNAGAGCUUAACUCUGGAACUGCCAUCAAAACUUUUCAGCUAGAGUAUGAUAGAGGAAAGCAGAAUUUCUAGUGUAGAGGUGAAAUUCGUAGAUAUUAGAAAGAAUACCAAUUGCGAAGGCAGCUUUCUGGAUCAUUACUGACACUGAGGAACGAAAGCAUGGGUAGCGAAGAGGAUUAGAUACCCUCGUAGUCCAUGCCGUAAACGAUGUGUGUUAGACGUUGGAAAUUUAUUUUCAGUGUCGCAGGGAAACCGAUAAACACACCGCCUGGGGAGUACGACCGCAAGGUUAAAACUCAAAUGAAUUGACGGGGACCCGCACAAGUAGUGGAGCAUGUGGUUUAAUUCGAAGAUAUGCGCAGAACCUUACCAACACUUGACAUGUUCGUCGCGACUCUAAGAGAUUAGAGUUUUCGGUUCGGCCGGACGAAACACAGGUGCUGCAUGGCUGUCGUCAGCUCGUGUCGUGAGAUGUUGGGUUAAGUCCCGCAACGAGCGCAACCCUCACUUUUAGUUGCCAUCAUUAAGUUGGGCACUCUGAAAGAACUGCCAGUGAUAAGCUGGAGGAAGGUGGGGAUGACGUCAAGUCCUCAUGGCCCUUACGUGUUGGGCUACACACGUGCUACAAUGGCAUCUACAACAGGAAGCAAAACGGCAACGUUAAGCAAAUCCCGAAAAGAUGCCUCAGUUCGGAUUGCACUCUGCAACUCGAGUGCAUGAAGCUGGAAUUACUAGUAAUCGUGGAUCAGCGUGCCACGGUGAAUGCGUUCCCGGGUCUUGUACACACCGCCCGUCACACCAUGGGAGUUGGUUCUACCUUAAGGCAAGGUUUCAAACCCUUGACCACGGUAUAGUCAGCGACUGGGGUG
RNAcentral lists this ribosomal RNA (1374 nucleotides) under uncultured Pelagibacterales bacterium. RNAcentral describes it as "bacterial SSU rRNA". It matches the Rfam family "Bacterial small subunit ribosomal RNA". The record is from RNAcentral. Lineage: Bacteria; Pseudomonadati; Pseudomonadota; Alphaproteobacteria; Candidatus Pelagibacterales.